This 577-nucleotide ribosomal RNA is filed under the name uncultured bacterium. RNAcentral's name for it is "bacterial SSU rRNA". It matches the Rfam family "Bacterial small subunit ribosomal RNA", at positions 338 to 916 of the family's 1533-position model. The record is from RNAcentral.
CCUACGGGAGGCAGCAGUAGGGAAUAUUGGUCAAUGGGUGAGAGCCUGAACCAGCCAUGCCGCGUGCAGGAAGAAGGCCUUCUGGGUUGUAAACUGCUUUUACUAGGGGAUAAAACGACUGUGCGCAGUUAAUUGAAGGUACCUGGUGAAUAAGCCACGGCUAACUACGUGCCAGCGGCCGCGGUAAUACGUAGGUGGCAAGCGUUGUCCGGAUUUAUUGGGUUUAAAGGGUGCGUAGGCGGCCCUGUAAGUCAGUGGUGAAAUGCUCUAGCUUAACUAGAGAGGUGCCAAUGAUACUGCAGGGCUUGAGUACAGAUGAGGUAGGCGGAAUUGACGGUGUAGCGGUGAAAUGCAUAGAUAUCGUCAAGAACACCUAUAGCGAAGGCAGCUUACUGGGCUGUAACUGACGCUGAGGCACGAAAGUGUGGGGAUCAAACAGGAUUAGAUACCCUGGUAGUCCACACUGUAAACGUUGAUUACCCGCUGUUUGCGAUACACAGCAAGCGGCUUAGCGAAAGCGAUAAGUAAUCCACCUGGGGAGUACGCCGGCAACGGUGAAACUCAAAGGAAUUGACGG